GGGUCUGAUUGAGAAAUGGAGCAAGUUUGUUGACGAUUGCCGUGUGAGAGAAGUGCUUGUAAAUUUUUAGAGAAAAAGAAGCAAAUCUAGACGGGAUAAGUGACACACUGGGAGUAGAUAUUGGGGUAAAAAAAGGCUUUAAUCAAGUUCAUGAGUUUUGGGGGUUUCCUUGAAAAAGGUAGUCCUGGUGGUGGAGGUGCAAGAAUCGUGGCAGA
This 215-nucleotide unclassified non-coding RNA is filed under the name Hevea brasiliensis (rubber tree). Lineage: Eukaryota; Viridiplantae; Streptophyta; Magnoliopsida; Malpighiales; Euphorbiaceae. The record is from RNAcentral.